Lipotes vexillifer (Yangtze River dolphin) is the source of this 950-nucleotide non-coding RNA. Lineage: Eukaryota; Metazoa; Chordata; Mammalia; Artiodactyla; Lipotidae. The record is from RefSeq and is a predicted model, not a curated record.
GCUCCCCAGAAGAGAAUGGCUCUGAGAAACAGCUCCUCAGUGACUGAGUUUAUCCUUGUGGGAUUAUCAGAACAAUUAGAGCUGCAGCUCCCCCUCUUCCUACUGAUCUUAGGGAUCUAUGUGUUUACUGUGGUGGGCAACUUGGGCCUGAUCAUCUUAAUUGGGCUGAAUUCUAGCCUUCACACUCCUAUGUACUUUUUCCUCUUCAACUUGUCUUUUAUAGAUCUCUGUUUUUCCUGUGUGUUUACCCCCAAAAUGCUGAAUGGUUUUGUGUCAGAAAACUUCAUUUCUUAUGUGGGAUGCAUGACUCAACUAUUUUUCUUCUGUUUCUUUGUCAAUUCUGAGUGCUGUGUGUUGGUAUCGAUGGCUUAUGAUUGCUAUGUGGCUAUCUGCAAUCCUCUGCUGUACACGGUCACCAUGUCGCCUCAUGUCUGUUCUCUGAUGAUGUUUGGUUCGUAUGUGAUAGAGUUUUCUGGGGCCAUGGCCCACACCAGAAACAUACUGAGACUGACCUUCCAUGAUUUCAACAUCACUGACCAUUAUCUGUGUGAAGUCCUCCCCCUCUUGCAGCUCUCCUGCACCAGCAUCCACAUCAAUGAGCUGGUGUUUUUUAUUGUUGUUGGAGUGGUCAUCACAAUAUCCCUUAUCAGUAUAUUCAUCUCAUGCUUUGAUUCUCUCCAGUAUUCUCCGUAUUCCUUCCACUGAGGGCAGGUCCAAAGCCUUUAGCACAUGUGGCUCCCACGUUGCUGUGACUCUGUUCUUUGGGUCAGGGGCAUUCACCUAUUUAAAAACCUCUUUUCCUGGACCUAUGGACCAGAAUAAAUUUGCCUCAGUCUUCUACACCAGUGUGGUUCCCAUGCUUAUCCUCUGAUCUACAGUUUGAGGAAUAAGGAUGUUAAAGUUGCUCUGAGAAAAACCCUGAAGAGAGUGCUCUUCUGAUGGUUCUGUUU